RNAcentral lists this transfer RNA (68 nucleotides) under Xyloterini sp. RNAcentral's name for it is "tRNA-Met". The record is from RNAcentral. Lineage: Eukaryota; Metazoa; Arthropoda; Insecta; Coleoptera; Curculionidae.
AAAAAGAUAAGCUAAAUAUAAGCUAGAGGGUUCAUACCCCUUUUAUAAAGAUUCUUCUUUUCUUUUUA